Xenia sp. Carnegie-2017 is the source of this 570-nucleotide long non-coding RNA. RefSeq lists it as uncharacterized. NCBI's taxonomy places the organism in Eukaryota, Metazoa, Cnidaria, Anthozoa, Malacalcyonacea, Xeniidae. The transcript is spliced from 2 exons. The record is from RefSeq and is a predicted model, not a curated record.
GGUGGAGAAGUUUCAUCAACGGAAUCAGAGGUAGCUGCAAAAGGUCUUUUAUUUGAAAGCUCGAGUCUAUUCAGCAGUGCGUUUGAGUGGGUUGUAGAAGUUGAAACAUUUUGAACAUGCAAGCUAUUGGACAUGGAUGUUGAAGCAUGUUUAAUCUUUCCAAAUUGCAGUUUUGUUUGAUGUCAUUUUUUCAACUUAUGUAUUGGAAUUUUACCUGUGAAAAGCAACAGUUUCUGCACCUAUGUGGUGAGAAAUAGCCCUGUUCCUGCACCCAAUUAUCACACAUGUAAGUGGCAUGUUUACUGAACAAUCCUGAAUACUUAUCUUUGUCCUAAAGAGGACAAUUAUGCAGUGAAAAAUAACUUUUGUUUGCAAAAUCAAGGAAAUAUACGCUCUAACGUUAAAAAAAGGACUGGGGUGAGAAGAAGCUAUACUUGUUUUUCUUCGUAAAUAUUGCUUUAAAACAUAAUUUUGCUAACGUUCUGUUAUGUUAAUGUCAUUAUUGGUUUAACGUUUUUUAAGAAAUUUUUAAAACAAUACCAUGCAAAUUUGCAAGAUGUCAAAAUCGCA